This 472-nucleotide ribosomal RNA is filed under the name uncultured bacterium. RNAcentral's name for it is "partial 16S ribosomal RNA". It matches the Rfam family "Bacterial small subunit ribosomal RNA", at positions 28 to 507 of the family's 1533-position model. The record is from RNAcentral.
GACGAACGCUGGCGGCGUGCUUAACACAUGCAAGUCGAACGCUGAAGCUUGGUGCUUGCACUGGGUGGAUGAGUGGCGAACGGGUGAGUAAUACGUGAGUAACCUGCCCUUGACUCUGGGAUAAGCCUGGGAAACUGGGUCUAAUACUGGAUAUGACAUGCCACUGCAUGGUGGUGUGUGGAAAGGGUUUUACUGGUUUUGGAUGGGCUCACGGCCUAUCAGCUUGUUGGUGGGGUAAUGGCCUACCAAGGCGACGACGGGUAGCCGGCCUGAGAGGGUGACCGGCCACACUGGGGCUGAGACACGGCCCAGACUCCUACGGGAGGCAGCAGUGGGGAAUAUUGCACAAUGGGCGGAAGCCUGAUGCAGCGACGCCGCGUGAGGGAUGACGGCCUUCGGGUUGUAAACCUCUUUCAGCACGGAAGAAGCGAGAGUGACGGUACGUGCAGAAGAAGCGCCGGCUAACUACGUG